CCUACGGGUGGCAGCAGUGGGGAAUAUUGCACAAUGGGGGAAACCCUGAUGCAGCGACGCCGCGUGAGUGAAGAAGUCCUUCGGUACGUAAAGCUCUAUCAGCAGGGAAGAAACACUGACCUUACGGUCAGCCGACGGUCCCUGAGUAAGAAGCCACGGCUAACUACGUGCCAGCAGCCGCGGUAAUACGUAGGGUGCAAGCGUUAUCCGGAUUUACUGGGUGUAAAGGGAGCGUAGCCGGUGCGCCAAGUCGGGAGUGAAAUGCCGCAGCUUAACUGCGGAACUGCUUUGGAAACUGGGGAACUAGAGUGAGGGAGGGGUAAGCGGAAUUCCUAGUGUAGCGGUGAAAUGCGUAGAUAUUAGGAGGAACACCGGUGGCGAAGGCGGCCUACUGGACCGUAACUGACGUUGAGGCGCGAAAGCGUGGGGAGCAAACAGGAUUAGAUACCCUAGUAGUC
RNAcentral lists this ribosomal RNA (458 nucleotides) under uncultured bacterium. RNAcentral describes it as "partial 16S ribosomal RNA". It matches the Rfam family "Bacterial small subunit ribosomal RNA", at positions 338 to 795 of the family's 1533-position model. The record is from RNAcentral.